UCCUGUCCAAAAUCCGAUCUGAAUUGAUGCACAACUGACACCUGUGAUCUGCGUCCGAACGUCGAUCGAGCUCAGAAGGAUCAUCAGGCAGUUUAAUCCAACUUCCGGCGAGCUCAAGUUUUCCGAUCGAAUGCUCCUUGCCUGCUAGGAUUUUGGCAAAAUGGCUGGCUAAAACCAGUGCUUGAAUGUUGCAGAGGACAUACCUCUGAGGAUUUUGGCAAAAACUUGUUAUCUCAGGGCUUGCAACAAGAUGAGAACAUUAUCUUCUGAGACAAAUUUCAAUUCAUUGUCUUCAAGCAAAUUUUCCACAGCCUGACUCAUUGUACAUACAAUCUGUAACUCGUGCAAGCCUACAAGGAUGGGUUUGCCACCUAAACUGAAAUUACAAGGGAUCAUUUGCUGAGGAGAGGGAACAGGCGUUCACGAAGAUCCGACUGAUAAGACAACAUGAAGAUGAGGAUCACAAGAAACAACCCAACACCCCAGGGAGUUCCCCCACUCCUCCGGUAGGAAUCUUGGCCCGGUAAUGGAAUAAAGAAGAGUGACAUGUCAAGCCAUGAAAGGCAGUGAAGAACAAGGAGAAGAAGCAGAGGAGACACCAUUAGUAGCAGCUUGAUCUGGUCUAUAAUGGCCUCAAGAAUAUGCCCAUAGUUGAUGUACCAUGUGAUGCCCACAAACAUGAAUAGCACAGCAAAGAAGAAACAGAAGUGUAGGGAUAAACGAGGUUGAGAAGAAUAAGGAUUGUUGUUAUUGUAGUAGUAGUAGUAAUCUGCCAUUUUUUUUUCCUCAAAGAUAACUGUUCUUGACUUCAGGAAGUUUGGAUAAAUGGUUUUGUUUA
Molecule: long non-coding RNA, 838 nt
Organism: Ipomoea nil (Japanese morning glory)
Lineage: Eukaryota; Viridiplantae; Streptophyta; Magnoliopsida; Solanales; Convolvulaceae
Exons: 4
Source: RefSeq, a predicted model, not a curated record